RNAcentral lists this ribosomal RNA (397 nucleotides) under bacterium enrichment culture clone ALO1_GLFRUDD03F28MC. Its description in RNAcentral is "bacterial SSU rRNA". It matches the Rfam family "Bacterial small subunit ribosomal RNA", at positions 9 to 410 of the family's 1533-position model. The record is from RNAcentral.
GAGUUUGAUCUUGGCUCAGAUUGAACGCUGGCGGCAUGCCUUACACAUGCAAGUCGAACGGCAGCACGGGAGCUUGCUCCUGGUGGCGAGUGGCGAACGGGUGAGUAAUGCAUCGGAACGUAUCCUGGAGUGGGGGAUAACGUAGCGAAAGUUACGCUAAUACCGCAUAUUCUGUGAGCAGGAAAGCGGGGGACCUUCGGGCCUCGCGCUCUUGGAGCGGCCGAUGUCGGAUUAGCUAGUUGGUGAGGUAAAGGCUCACCAAGGCGACGAUCCGUAGCAGGUCUGAGAGGAUGAUCUGCCACACUGGAACUGAGACACGGUCCAGACUCCUACGGAGGCAGCAGUGGGAUUUGGACAAUGGGGGCAACCCUGAUCCAGCCAUGCCGCGUGAGUGAAG